Molecule: ribosomal RNA, 253 nt
Filed under: uncultured bacterium
Lineage: Bacteria
Description: partial 16S ribosomal RNA
Rfam family: Bacterial small subunit ribosomal RNA
Source: RNAcentral
UACGUAGGGGGCUAGCGUUGUCCGGAAUCAUUGGGCGUAAAGCGCGCGUAGGCGGCCCGGUAAGUCCGCUGUAAAAGUCAAAGGCUCAACCUUUGAAUGUCAGUGGAUACUGCCGGGCUAGAGUCCGGAAGAGGCGAGUGGAACUCCUGGUGUAGCGGUGGAAUGCGCAGAUAUCAGGAGGAACACCGGUGGCGAAGGCGGGUCUCUGGACAGUUCCUGACGCUGAGGCACGAAGGUCAGGGGAGCAAACGGG